CGGGGUCGGCGGCGACGUGCUCAGCCUGGCACCCAAGUUCUGCCGCUCCGACGCCCGGC
Aotus nancymaae (Ma's night monkey) is the source of this 59-nucleotide microRNA precursor. The record is from Ensembl. NCBI's taxonomy places the organism in Eukaryota, Metazoa, Chordata, Mammalia, Primates, Aotidae.